GUAGGGGGCAAGCGUUGAUCGGAAUUACUGGGCGUAAAGAGUGCGCAGGCGGCUUUGCAAGACAGAUGUGAAAUCCCCGGGCUCAACCGGGGAACUGCAUUUGAGACUGCUUGGCUCGAGUGCGGGAGAGGGGGAUGGAAUUCCCCGUGUAGCGGUGAAAUGCGUAGAUAUGCGGAGGAACACCGAUGGCGAAGGCAAUCCCCUGGGCCGGCCCUGACGCUCAUGCACGAAAGCGUGGGGAGCAAACAGGAUUAGAUACCCUGGUAGUCCACGCCCUAAACGAUGUCCACUGGGUGUUGGAGGGAUUGCUGUUCACUAAGCAAACUCACACGUGAUAUUGAUCCCCUGUGGAGAACAGCCGCGCGGUUG
This 369-nucleotide ribosomal RNA is filed under the name uncultured bacterium. RNAcentral's name for it is "bacterial SSU rRNA". It matches the Rfam family "Bacterial small subunit ribosomal RNA", at positions 527 to 896 of the family's 1533-position model. The record is from RNAcentral.